This 441-nucleotide ribosomal RNA is filed under the name uncultured bacterium. RNAcentral's name for it is "partial 16S ribosomal RNA". It matches the Rfam family "Bacterial small subunit ribosomal RNA", at positions 338 to 795 of the family's 1533-position model. The record is from RNAcentral.
CCUACGGGUGGCUGCAGUAAGGAAUAUUGGUCAAUGGGCGCAAGCCUGAACCAGCAACGCCGCGUGGAGGAAGAAGGGUUUCGGCUCGUAAACUCCUUUUAGGUGGGACGAGACAGGACGGUACCACCUGAAUAAGUCUCGGCUAACUACGUGCCAGCAGCCGCGGUAAAACGUAGGAGACGCGCUUUAUCCGGAUUUACUGGGCGUAAAGCGCGUUCAGGCGGUUCAAUAAGUCAUAUGUGAAAGCACCUGGCUCAACUGGGUGAGGCCAUGUGAGACUGUUGAGCUUGAGAGAGGUAGAGGCUAACGGAAUUCCGGGUGGAGUGGUGAAAUGCGUAGAGAUCCGGAGGAACACCAGUGGCGAAGGCGGUUGGCUGGGCCUACUCUGACGCUCAGACGCGACAGCAUGGGGAGCGAACGGGAUUAGAUACCCCGGUAGUC